UGGGGAAUUUUGCGCAAUGGGCGAAAGCCUGACGCAGCAACGCCGCGUGAGUGAUGAAGGCUUUCGGGUCGUAAAGCUCUGUCAAGGGGAAAGAAGUGUAUUGUGGCUAAUAUCCACGAUACUUGACGGUACCCCUGAAGGAAGCACCGGCUAACUCCGUGCCAGCAGCCGCGGUAAUACGGGGGGUGCAAGCGUUGUUCGGAAUUAUUGGGCGUAAAGCGCGUGUAGGCGGUUUGUUAAGUCUGAUGUGAAAGCCCUGGGCUCAACCCAGGAAGUGCAUUGGAUACUGGCAGACUUGAAUACGGGAGAGGGUAGUGGAAUUCCUGGUGUAGGAGUGAAAUCCGUAGAUAUCAGGAGGAACACCGGUGGCGAAGGCGGCUACCUGGACCGAUAUUGACGCUGAGACGCGAAAGCGUGGGUAGCAAACA
Molecule: ribosomal RNA, 428 nt
Filed under: uncultured bacterium
Lineage: Bacteria
Description: bacterial SSU rRNA
Rfam family: Bacterial small subunit ribosomal RNA
Source: RNAcentral